Molecule: ribosomal RNA, 1329 nt
Filed under: Triticum aestivum (bread wheat)
Lineage: Eukaryota; Viridiplantae; Streptophyta; Magnoliopsida; Poales; Poaceae
Description: partial small subunit ribosomal RNA
Source: RNAcentral
AUGAACUUCCUACUAGACCUUAAGCAUCUCAAGCACAUUAGCUUGCCGACGAGGCCUGUCAUUUGCAAAUGCCUUCUAGUAGUGAUUGGUCUUAUUGUAUUGAGAGCGAUUGUCUCCCCUUUUCUCGCCAUUAAUUUGUCUGAGAAGAGUUUUUAUGAGCCAUCAACCCUUGACCUGUUUCCUGGAGUUAGGAAAGACAAGUUUGUUGAGGUCCCACAGAUUAUAUGGGGAUUGAACAAUCAGAAGAUCGCAUUUGCCAGGGCAUGCUUGACUGCCAAAUUCCUGAAUCGGUCUCUGCUCAUGCCAAGUCUGAGUGCUUCACUUUUUUACAAAGAGGUUGACUUGCUGCAGCCUAUUCCUUUCGACAAGGUGUUUGACUUCACCAAAUUCAAUGCACGCUGUCAUGGGUUUGCAAGGCUAGCUCGGUACUCCGAGGUUUCGAAUCAUACUGAGCCCUAUAAACUACAAAAGGGAAGUGGUAGGAGGUGGACAGUGGAGAGAGACUUGGAUCAGCUGCAACAGUCCAAAACGGGUGAAGCUGAUGGCUAUCAAGUAAUUCAUGUCACUGGGAAACAUCCGUUUCUGUGGCCUGACCAUUGGCCAGUGAAAAACUAUGCCAAGGUCUUCGAUUGCCUUGCCUUAGCUCCUGAUAUAGAAGCUGAAGUAGUCAAGGUCAUAUCCAAGAUUAAAGAUGCAGGGGAAAAAGCAAGACACGAGGCUGCUAUUUCCCAUAAAAAGAAGAGUAUAGAUGAUGGUUCGUUAAAUCUGCCUGUGCAGUACAUUGCUGUUCACAUGAGAAUAGAGAAGGACUGGAUGAUCCACUGCAAGAAGUGGGAGAAGCGGUCUAACUUGAAGGAAAUCUGCAGCAGCAAAGGAGAGAUCAUUCAUAAGGUCUCACAGAUCACUGAUCUACGCCGGCCGGUUGUGGUUUAUCUUGCUGUAGCCGACAGCCUUCUAGAAGAUGAUUCUGUCACCAGUGGCUGGAGAGUGGGUAUGAUUGCCUAUGAGAAGAAGAAACUCGGAGUUACUGACAUAUACGAGAGGCAGCCUUACCUUCUAAAGUCUGCCAUCGACUUUGAGGUGUGCGCGAGAGCAGAUGUGUUUGUUGGCAAUAGCUUCUCAACAUUUUCCAACCUCGUAGUUUUAUCUAGAACAGAAAGGCUGUAUAAGCUGGGGGUGGAAAGCUCAUGUGGCGAGGAUGUUGGGCUGUCGUCAUAUGCAUACAAUGUUAUUGGAGAUGACGGCGGGCCUCAGAGAUGGAUGACAGAUAUGUUGGACACAAGCCUUCAGCGCAUAAGCUAUGGAACAAAUAACAUCUCCUGCCACUGA